RNAcentral lists this long non-coding RNA (290 nucleotides) under Diabrotica virgifera virgifera (western corn rootworm). Its description in RNAcentral is "uncharacterized LOC126883878". The record is from RNAcentral. Lineage: Eukaryota; Metazoa; Arthropoda; Insecta; Coleoptera; Chrysomelidae.
AGAUCCCUAGGAAGAUCAAAUUCCUAACUUAUAUUUGCAUGGUGAGUUCAACAAGUAUUUGUUAUUAGAGAAUAAGUAACACAUUUAGUGGUGUAGGGAAGCAAACGAAUGUAACACCAAUUGAAAGUCCUUCAACAAGUAGAGAUGCACACAUGUUUCAAUCAUUUGAGAUACCCUUUUGUAGAAGUAUUUGGAAGAUAACUAUUAAUAAUUUCAUUUGUAAAGAUACGAUUUGUAAAAAAGUAUAUACAAAGUGGUUUUGCUGGUAUUAAAUAAAUAAAUAAAAAUAC